This 460-nucleotide ribosomal RNA is filed under the name uncultured bacterium. RNAcentral describes it as "partial 16S ribosomal RNA". It matches the Rfam family "Bacterial small subunit ribosomal RNA", at positions 338 to 795 of the family's 1533-position model. The record is from RNAcentral.
CCUACGGGAGGCUGCAGUGAGGAAUAUUGGUCAAUGGACGAGAGUCUGAACCAGCCAAGUAGCGUGAAGGAUGACUGCCCUAUGGGUUGUAAACUUCUUUUAUAUGGGAAUAAAAUGUUCCACGUGUGGGAUUUUGUAUGUACCAUAUGAAUAAGGAUCGGCUAACUCCGUGCCAGCAGCCGCGGUAAUACGGAGGAUCCGAGCGUUAUCCGGAUUUAUUGGGUUUAAAGGGAGCGUAGGUGGAUUGUUAAGUCAGUUGUGAAAGUUUGCGGCUAAACCGUAAAAUUGCAGUUGAAACUGGCAGUCUUGAGUACAGUAGAGGUUGGCGGAAUUCGUGGUGCAGCGGUGAAAUGCUUAGAUAUCACGAAGAACUCCGAUUGCGAAGGCAGUUCACUGGACUGCAACUGACACUGAGGCUCGAAAGUGUGGGUAUCAAACAGGAUUAGAUACCCUUGUAGUC